Molecule: ribosomal RNA, 404 nt
Filed under: Bacillota bacterium
Lineage: Bacteria; Bacillati; Bacillota
Also listed under: 2 other names
Description: Firmicutes bacterium partial 16S ribosomal RNA
Rfam family: Bacterial small subunit ribosomal RNA
Source: RNAcentral
UGGGGAAUAUUGGACAAUGGGCGCAAGCCUGAUCCAGCCAUGCCGCGUGAGUGAUGAAGGCCCUAGGGUUGUAAAGCUCUUUCAACGGUGAAGAUAAUGACGGUAACCGUAGAAGAAGCCCCGGCUAACUUCGUGCCAGCAGCCGCGGUAAUACGAAGGGGGCUAGCGUUGUUCGGAAUUACUGGGCGUAAAGCGCACGUAGGCGGAUACUUAAGUCAGGGGUGAAAUCCCGGGGCUCAACCCCGGAACUGCCUUUGAUACUGGGUAUCUCGAGUCCGGAAGAGGUGAGUGGAAUUCCGAGUGUAGAGGUGAAAUUCGUAGAUAUUCGGAGGAACACCAGUGGCGAAGGCGGCUCACUGGUCCGGUACUGACGCUGAGGUGCGAAAGCGUGGGGAGCAAACAGG